CAGGUUUAGUGACUCACUGAGGGGAUCAGUGUUGAGGGCUGAAUUGGCAGACGUGGUUUACAUUCCAACACCUUAAUCGUUAUGCCACCCUGCCUGUAUGAAUCAUCCUGGGUUCAUCUUUUGUUCAGUUUCUUUUACUCUCUCUCAGAAACCGUGGUGGUUUUGACUCCUAAUACUCGGGGUAAUAAUGAGGGACAGCUGAAGGAUACAGGCAUCCCUCUGGCCCCUGCUUAGACACUGAGGCUGAGGUAGCCAGCCUUGGCCACCACUGAGAUACUGAUACUGAGACUUCAACAUCUGUUUACCCUGGUCCUCUUUAAUAUUUAUUGUUCAACCUGUAAUAUCCUCACAGGCAGAGAUCUGUGCCCUGGAGUGACCCUGAGGCAAACUGCCCUUCUAUCUUUCCUAUCAUCUUGCAUAUUCCUUUGGGGCCAAGUGAACAGAAUAGGCAGGUAGUUGUGCCUCUGCCUUCCUUCAGGUUUGACCGUCUCACUGGCUGUGCCACUUGCUUCCUGUUACGAGACAAUUACUAAGCUGCAUUUGAAAAGAGGUUUAUACAGUAUUCAUCCAUCCAUUUUCUAACCCGCUGAAUCCGAAUACAGGGUCACGGGGGUCCGCUGGAGCCAAUCCCA
This is a long non-coding RNA of Polypterus senegalus (gray bichir), 632 nucleotides long. RefSeq lists it as uncharacterized. The transcript has 4 exons. NCBI's taxonomy places the organism in Eukaryota, Metazoa, Chordata, Cladistia, Polypteriformes, Polypteridae. The record is from RefSeq and is a predicted model, not a curated record.